This 592-nucleotide ribosomal RNA is filed under the name uncultured bacterium. RNAcentral's name for it is "bacterial SSU rRNA". It matches the Rfam family "Bacterial small subunit ribosomal RNA", at positions 51 to 655 of the family's 1533-position model. The record is from RNAcentral.
AUACAUGCAAGUCGAACGGGGAGUAUUAAUUUCGGUUUUUACUCCUAGUGGCGAACGGGUGAGUAACGCGUUGGUGACCUGCCCCGAAGCGGGAGAUAACAGUUCGAAAGGACUGCUAAUACCCCAUGUGGUCGUACAGGUUAGAGGCUGAACGACUAAAGGAGCAAUCCACUUCGGGAGGGGCCUGCGUCCCAUCUGCUAGUUGGUAAGGUAACGGCCUAACAAGGCGAUGACGGGUAGGGGACCUGAGAGGGUGGUCCCCCACACUGGCACUGAAACACGGGCCAGACACCUACGGGUGGCAGCAGUAGGGAAUAUUGCACAAUGGGCGAAAGCCUGAUGCAGCAACGCCGCGUGCGCGAAGAAGGCCUUCGGGUUGUAAAGCGCUUUUCUGGAGGAAGAGGAAGGACGGUACUCCAGGAAUAAGGAUCGGCUAACUACGUGCCAGCAGCCGCGGUAACACGUAGGAUCCGAGCGUUAUCCGAAUUUACUGGGCGUAAAGCGCGUGUAGGCGGCCGGGUAAGUUGGACGUGAAAGCUCCUGGCUUAACUAGGAGAGGUCGUUCAAAACUGCCUGGCUAGAGGGCGACAGA